RNAcentral lists this ribosomal RNA (438 nucleotides) under uncultured bacterium. Its description in RNAcentral is "bacterial SSU rRNA". It matches the Rfam family "Bacterial small subunit ribosomal RNA", at positions 958 to 1398 of the family's 1533-position model. The record is from RNAcentral.
AACGCGAAGAACCUUACCUAGAUUUGACAUGCAGGGAAAAGCCGUAGAGAUACGGUGUCCUUAGGGGCCUUGCACAGGUGGUGCAUGGCUGUCGUCAGCUCGUGUCGUGAGAUGUUGGGUUAAGUCCCGCAACGAGCGCAACCCUCGUCCUAUGUUGCCAGCGGGUAAUGCCGGGGACUCGUAGGAGACUGCCGGGGUCAACUCGGAGGAAGGUGGGGACGAUGUCAAGUCAUCAUGCCCCUUACGUCUAGGGCUGCACACAUGCUACAAUGGCCGGUACAGAGGGCUGCUAAAGCGCGAGCUGGAGCCAAUCCCUAAAGCCGGUCUCAGUUCAGAUUGCAGGCUGCAACUCGCCUGCAUGAAGUUGGAGUCGCUAGUAAUCCCGGAUCAGCACUGCCGGGGUGAAUACGUUCCCGGGCCUUGUACACACCGAGUAUA